Molecule: ribosomal RNA, 252 nt
Filed under: Triticum aestivum (bread wheat)
Lineage: Eukaryota; Viridiplantae; Streptophyta; Magnoliopsida; Poales; Poaceae
Description: partial small subunit ribosomal RNA
Source: RNAcentral
AUGGUCGAAGGCUCGGAGUUGGACAUCACCAAUCUCAAGUUCCUCCUUCUCUGCUUCCAACAGAUGUCGAGCCUCAAGAUCAACUUCAAUAAGAGUGACGUUAUGGUGAUGGGGUACUCCCCCUCUGAGUCGGUGGCCAUUGCCAACCGUCUUAAUUGCCGCCUGGGCUCUUUCCCCACUACCUAUCUGGGGACGCCCAUUAGUGACUCGCGUCUUUCUGUUGCCGACUUGCGCCCCUCCGUGACCAAGCUC